UGGUUAUGAUUGUCUGAACCAAAAAUCAUCGCUGAUUCUCUCGAUUCCUUUCUCUUCUCCUUCCCGAUCCGAAUCGCCGCCUGGCUGAGUUUAUCUUCGCUUCGAUAGAGAACGCUGAGUACUAUCUUUCUGAGUUCACCAAGUUUGAUUCAAAUCUUCAUUCAAGCCUCAUGUUCUACCUUCUACGAAGGCAGAUAUUCUUCAAGUUGCUUAUCGACCACAAGAUUUUUUAAAGCAGGAAUGAUGCUGCUCUUCGGUGAUAGAGCGUUAAGCGAAAGAAAAAUACCAGAGACUGAAGAUUUUAUCGAUGAUGAUAUCAGACGCCUUACAAGUAUAGGCCUUAGAGCCGAGGAUCCCAUGGCUGGGAGAUCAGUACCUUUCGAUGUCGCUCCGUUUGCAAAUGCUAGCACGAAUGAGAUGCUUCAGAUGAUGCAAACCCUAGUCGCAAUGAAUCCAGAUCUGCAGAAGAAAGACAUUUCAUCUCAGAUGCAGACAUUACCUUUCUAAGACGACAAUCAUAUAUGAUAAAUCUUAAUGCUACUUGCUAUGUACCACCACUAGUAGAGUCAUUUGCUUCCCUCUCUUCCAUAAUUUCUUCUUCGUAUAGCUUGGUGUGGCCGGACCAGCAAAGCGUCCCUAACUGUAGCCUUUGGUGGUGGAGAAUUGAUCUAAGCUCUGGUUUUCAUGGCGACUAGAUUGUGUAAUUUUAGCUACGAAUUACAUGCCCCAUGUUUUUUUUUGAAAA
This is a long non-coding RNA of Eutrema salsugineum, 745 nucleotides long. RefSeq lists it as uncharacterized. The record is from RefSeq and is a predicted model, not a curated record. The transcript has 3 exons. NCBI's taxonomy places the organism in Eukaryota, Viridiplantae, Streptophyta, Magnoliopsida, Brassicales, Brassicaceae.